CGUAGGUGGCAAGCGUUGUCCGGAUUUAUUGGGUUUAAAGGGUGCGUAGGUGGUCAAUUAAGUCAGUGCUGAAAUAUCCCGGCUUAACCGGGAGGGUGGCAUUGAUACUGAAUGACUUGAGUGGAGUUGAGGUAGGCGGAAUUGACGGUGUAGCGGUGAAAUGCUUAGAUAUCGUCAAGAACACCAAUAGCGAAGGCAGCUUACUAAGCUCUAACUGACACUGAUGCACGAAAGUGUGGGGAUCAAACAGGAUUAGAUACCCUGGUAGUCCACACUGUAAACGUUGAUUACUCGAUGUUGGCGAUACACAGUCAGCGUCUUAGCGCAAGCGAUAAGUAAUCCACCUGGGGAGUACGCCGGCAACGGUG
This 368-nucleotide ribosomal RNA is filed under the name uncultured organism. RNAcentral describes it as "bacterial SSU rRNA". It matches the Rfam family "Bacterial small subunit ribosomal RNA", at positions 526 to 896 of the family's 1533-position model. The record is from RNAcentral.